GACAGACCGCGGCCAAAUUUCGGAGGGUAAGUUCGUAAAUUUGGGAGGAUGUUAAAAAAACGGUAGCACAAGAAUCAAAAUAAAAACCCCUCUGCCAUCGCAUUAUCGCGCGCAGCUGCACGAACAAAACGCAGAAAAUACAUUUUCUGCGCCGAGUCUGCCCCUUUCCCUCUCACUCGCAGCUUUGCUUCUGCUUUGGUCUCUUCCUCUUCCUACUGCCUAGUAUACAACAAGAACAAGGUUGAGGUCGAUACUUGACAUUUCACAAAUGACGAACAAAACAUCCAAAAUUGGACAAGAUUUGUUGGUGAAUAUUCUGUCAACUCUGCCUCCGAAAUCUCUGAUGCGAUUCAAGUGCGUUGCUAAAUGGUGGCAUGCUCUCAUCAACGACCCCAGGUUCGUCGACAAGCACCUCUCCCAUUCCUUGCUGGACGAUCAAUCCACUCGUGUUUUUUUUAAAGAGAAUGUUAGUCCCUCCUACAGAGGACCCAAAAGGUGACAAAAUUCAAUACGUAUUCUCAGUACUUACUUUUGACAAUGUCAUUGUUGAUGAUGACGAUGAUGGCGUGCAUAAGUGUAGCACUCUUUCUGGGAUCGAGGACGUCAAUAUUCCUCUUUCUAUGAGUCUAGAGAUUGGAGAUGAUCGAUCAUUUCACGUUAUAGGUCAUUGUGAUGGGAUCAUUUGUCUAGCUCGACCUAAUUCUACUAAGGUGCUUUUGUGGAAUCCGGCAAUUCAGGAAUUCAGGGUCCUUCCCUUGGAGACAUACAUUCCAGAUUGGUUUGACGAAGUAUCCCGUAGGGAUCCUCAUCCUUGGUGGUUGGGUAUGCCUUACAUGCCACUAACAAGUCGGUUCAACGACGUUUUGGGAUUAGGCUAUGAUCCUAAAUCUAAAGAUUACAAAGUUGUCAAAAUUGGAUUUUCUGGUUCACAAUUGCAUGGCGACACAAAACAUUUGAUUAUUCAUCCUCCCAAGAUAGUAGUGUAUAUACCUUGGGAACAGAUUCAUGGAGAGAGAUCAAGCCUUGUUCUUUAGAAACGGAAACUACUUUCCUUUGGCCUGAAACUUUUCAGGUGUACUUCAAGGGGAUGUGUUAUUGGAUAGGAAGUGAGCAACAAAAGGAAUUUGUCCAUAGCUAUGAUGCCGCCUAUCAGGAGGAAGAAAAGAUUAGGCGAGUGAUCAUUUUGCUUGACAUGAGUUGUGAGGUGUUUCAAGACAUACUCUUACCACAUGAGAUGCUAGAGUUCAACGAUUUCAGAGGAGUUGGCCUUGACAUUCGUCUUAAGGUGUGGAAUGAAUCCAUCGCUCUUUUUCGCUUGAAUAUAUAUACUUUUGAGGAUGGUGAUGCACUAACCUUUGAAAUGUGGACGAUGAUUCUGGUGGUGGUGCGACCAAUGAGGGUGGUGUUUGGACAAAACACUUUGCAUCCAAGAUCCCAACGUUCUCAAUGUCCCCUGUCCACCUGCGCAACACAUUGGCAAUGUGGAAGUGCGACGAGGUUCUUCUGUUAACGGAUAAUGGAUGCAUAGUCUGCUAUAACAUCCGUACUAAAAACCUAAAAAAUCUUCCCAUUCAAACUGCUGUAAGGAUUAUUCCCUGUUUUCCUCCACCACCGUCUUAUUUUCCACUGUGCAAAGCAAAUCAUUCACCUCUUGUAUAUGUGAAGAGUAUAGUUUCGGUCAUGGAAGGCAACAAGAAGUACAAGAGUACGUUGUACUUGAUACAACAUGCAUCAAUAUGGACGUAGAAGUUGAUGAAAUCCUUUUGUUGUCGAAAUCAUGGAUGUAAACUUGGAGUCGAUAGAAAUUUAUAUGUUGUAUAAUUGAUUAUGUUUGAUUAUUGUAUUAACAAUCCGCAACUGUGAAGAAAUACAACCGUGAAAUGAAAUGAUGAGUACCC
Molecule: RNA transcript, 1898 nt
Organism: Pyrus x bretschneideri (Chinese white pear)
Lineage: Eukaryota; Viridiplantae; Streptophyta; Magnoliopsida; Rosales; Rosaceae
Gene name: F-box/kelch-repeat protein At3g17530-like
Exons: 2
Source: RefSeq, a predicted model, not a curated record